AUUGAACGCUGGCGGCAUGCUUUACACAUGCAAGUCGAACGGCAGCGCGGGCUUCGGCCUGGCGGCGAGUGGCGAACGGGUGAGUAAUGCAUCGGAACGUGCCCAGUAGUGGGGGAUAGCCCGGCGAAAGCCGGAUUAAUACCGCAUACGACCUGAGGGUGAAAGCGGGGGACCGAAAGGCCUCGCGCUAUUGGAGCGGCCGAUGUCGGAUUAGCUAGUUGGUGGGGUAAAGGCUUACCAAGGCGACGAUCCGUAGCUGGUCUGAGAGGACGACCAGCCACACUGGGACUGAGACACGGCCCAGACUCCUACGGGAGGCAGCAGUGGGGAAUUUUGGACAAUGGGGGCAACCCUGAUCCAGCCAUGCCGCGUGCGGGAAGAAGGCCUUCGGGUUGUAAACCGCUUUCGUUCGGGAAGAAAUCCUCUGGGCUAAUACCCCGGGGGGAUGACGGUACCGGAAGAAUAAGCACCGGCUAACUACGUG
This 484-nucleotide ribosomal RNA is filed under the name uncultured bacterium. Its description in RNAcentral is "partial 16S ribosomal RNA". It matches the Rfam family "Bacterial small subunit ribosomal RNA", at positions 28 to 507 of the family's 1533-position model. The record is from RNAcentral.